CCCAUAACAGAUAGAAUCAUUUCUAAAGUAAGCUUCUUUUAUCUGAACUCUUCAAAAGAGCCACAGAACUCCAACCUGGCGGAUGAGCUACAUCCCCGAUGCCCUAGAGUGAUACCUGGUAUCUUGGCUCCGGCCUCGAUGGUGAUGAUCUCGACCCUUUUGAGUGUCUGGCUUCGGUCGGCUUGACUGGGUGGGCGUUGGCGGACUUCUGACAGGC
Molecule: small nucleolar RNA, 217 nt
Filed under: Aureobasidium namibiae CBS 147.97
Lineage: Eukaryota; Fungi; Ascomycota; Dothideomycetes; Dothideales; Saccotheciaceae
Description: Fungal small nucleolar RNA U3
Rfam family: Fungal small nucleolar RNA U3
About the family: Small nucleolar RNAs (snoRNAs) are involved in the processing and modification of rRNA in the nucleolus. There are two main classes of snoRNAs: the box C/D class, and the box H/ACA class. U3 snoRNA is a member of the box C/D class.
Source: Rfam by way of RNAcentral